GGACGUUGUAGGGAGCGGCCA
Molecule: microRNA, 21 nt
Filed under: Gadus morhua (Atlantic cod)
Lineage: Eukaryota; Metazoa; Chordata; Actinopteri; Gadiformes; Gadidae
Description: gmo-miR-11281-3p
Source: miRBase by way of RNAcentral